ACGCUGAGGUACGAAAGCCUGGGGAGCGAACAGGAUUAGAUACCCUGGUAGUUCACGCCGUUAACGUUGAUCACUAGUUGUUUGCGAUACAUUGUGAGCGACUGAACAAAAGCAUUAAGUGAUCCACCUGGGGAGUACGUUGGCAACGAUGAAACUCAAAGGAAUUGACGGGGGCCCGCACAAGCGGAGGAACAUGUGGUUUAAUUCGAUGAUACGCGAGGAACCUUACCUGGGCUUAAAUGUAAGACGACUAACAGGGAAACUUGUUAUCUUUCGAGCGUCCUACAAGGUGCUGCAUGGUUGUCGUCAGCUCGUGCCGUGAGGUGUCGGGUUAAGUCCCAUAACGAGCGCAACCCUUAUCGUUAGUUGCCAGCGGGUAAUGCCGGGGACUCUAGCGAAACUGCCAUCGUAAGAUGUGAGGAAGGUGGGGAUGACGUCAAAUCAGCACGGCCCUUAUGUCCAGGGCUACACACGUGUUACAAUGGUCGAAACAAAGGGCAGCUACUUGGUGACAAGAUGCUAAUCUCUAAAAUCGAUCUCAGUUCGGAUCGAAGUCUGCAAUUCGACUUCGUGAAGUUGGAUUCGCUAGUAAUCGCGCAUCAGCAAUGGCGCGGUGAAUACGUUCCCGGGCCUUGUACACACCGCCCGUCAAGCCAUGGAAGCUGGGGGUACC
RNAcentral lists this ribosomal RNA (673 nucleotides) under uncultured organism. RNAcentral describes it as "bacterial SSU rRNA". It matches the Rfam family "Bacterial small subunit ribosomal RNA", at positions 743 to 1421 of the family's 1533-position model. The record is from RNAcentral.